This is a non-coding RNA of Cinara cedri, 235 nucleotides long. Lineage: Eukaryota; Metazoa; Arthropoda; Insecta; Hemiptera; Aphididae. The record is from the annotation of a GenBank genome assembly.
AAUUUUACGAGAUUUUACGUUAAUUUUAUGCUUGGUAGGUACGCUAUGGUUAAAAUGUUUAAAUCAAACAAAAGUGCCAGGAAAUUGAACAGGAGGUUAAUUAUAAGUUGUUACACUAAGUGAUAAAAAAAAAAAAUUGAGCGUUAUGUACCAUUUUUUUUCUUAUAAGAAUUUUAAUAUCAAAUUUCGACGAAAAUCGUAAAUAUUUCGGUCUUUUUAAACGUGUAUAACCAAA